UUGUCUGGAAGCCACAGCUAUGCCUUUUAAUUAUGGAAAACAAUGGUUUUAAAAUGACAUUUAUCUUCGGUUACAUCUAACUUCAUUUUUCAGUCGUGUGAACUAUAAAGGAAUUUGUACAGUGACAACAUGCUACCAAUCAAUCCAAACCAUAUACUGAGACGGCAAUCAUUUUCCCUUUAGUGUUUAAUUCAUCAUUAAAAAUAGAGUGACCAGAGGAGACUUCAGCACAAAUGUUCUCCUAGGAGGCCUCUGGGUGUGUGUGUGUCUGCUUGUACACAUCUGUGUGUGUACACAUUUGUUCCUGUUUUUGCUACAUAUCAUAUUGUCCAACGUUGGGACAAUCAAGUUUUUAUGAAGAGGAAUGUGUACUUCUGGUGUACCUGCACUCCAUUCUACGAGACAGAGAGGGAUCAGGGACUGGACAGGCCAGCAGUGAGAGACCAGCAUGAUGACUAACUCCAUCCACAGCUACUGUUGUUAUUGUUGUUGUUGAGUCAGUUGGACUAACUCCAUCCACAGCUACUGUUGUUAUUGUUGUUAUUGAGUCAGUUGGACUAACUCCAUCCACAGCUACUGUUGUUAUUGUUGUUAUUGAGUCAGUUGGACUAACUCCAUCCACAGCUACUGUUGUUAUUGUUGUUGUUGAGUCAGUUGGACUAACUCCAUCCACAGCUACUGUUGAUAUUGUUGUUGUUGAGUCAGUUGGACUAACUCCAUCCACAGCUACUGUUGAUAUUGUUGUUGUUGAGUCAGUUGGACUAACUCCAUCCACAGCUACUGUUGAUAUUGUUGUUGUUGAGUCAGUUGGACUAGCUCCAUCCACAGCUACUGUUGUUAUUGUUGCCAGUUGGACUAGAUCCAUCCACAGCUACUGUUGUUAUUGUUGUUGUUGAGUCAGUUGGACAAGCUCCAUCCACAGCUACUGUUGAUAUUGUUGUUGUUGAGUCAGUUGGACUAACUCCAUCCACAGCUACUGUUGAUAUUGUUGUUGUUGAGUCAGUUGGACUAACUCCAUCCACAGCUACUGUUGAUGUUGUUGUUGAGUCAGUUGGACUAACUCCAUCCACAGCUACUGUUGAUAUUGUUGUUAUUGUUGUCAGUUGGACUAGCUCCAUCCACAGCUACUGCUGUUAUUGUUGUUGUUGAGUCAGUUGGACUAACUCCAUCCACAGCUACUGUUGAUAUUGUUGUUAUUGAGUCAGUUGGACUAACUCCAUCCACAGCUACUGUUGAUGUUGUUGUUGUCAGUUGGACUAACUCCAUCCACAGCUACUGUUGAUAUUGUUGUUAUUGUUGUCAGUUGGACUAACUCCAUCCACAGCUACUGUUGAUAUUGAGUCAGUUGGACUAACUCCAUCCACAGCUACUGUUGAUAUUGAGUCAGUUGGACUAACUCCAUCCACAGCUACUGUUGAUAUUGAGUCAGUUGGACUAACUCCAUCCACAGCUACUGUUGUUAUUGAGUCAGUUGGACUAACUCCAUCCACAGCUACUGUUGUUAUUGUUGAGUCAGUUGGACUAACUCCAUCCACAGCUACUGUUGUUAUUGAGUCAGUUGGACUAGCUCCAUCCACAGCUACUGUUGAUAUUGUUGUUAUUGAGUCAGUUGGACUAACUCCAUCCACAGCUACUGUUGUUAUUGUUGAGUCAGUUGGACUAGCUCCAUCCACAGCCACUGCUGUUAUUGUUGUUGUUGAGUCAGUUGGACUAACUCCAUCCACAGCUACUGUUGAUAUUGUUGUUGUUGAGUCAGUUGGACUAACUCCAUCCACAGCUACUGUUGAUAUUGUUGUUGUUGAGUCAGUUGGACUAACUCCCUCCACAGCUACUGUUGUUAUUGUUGUCAGUUUGACUAACUCCAGCCACAACUACUGUUGUUAUUGAGUCAGUUGGACUAGCUCCAUCCACAGCUACUGUUGAUAUUGUUGUUGUUGAGUCAGUUGGACUAACUCCAUCCGCAGCUACUGUUGAUAUUGUUGUUGUUGAGUCAGUUGGACUAGCUCCAUCCACAGCUACUGUUGUUGUUAUUGAGUCAGUUGGACUAGCUCCAUCCACAGCUACUGUUGAUAUUGUUGUUGUUGAGUCAGUUGGACUAGCUCCAUCCACAGCUACUGUUGAUAUUGUUGUUAUUGUUGUCAGUUGGACUAGCUCCAUCCACAGCUACUGUUGUUAUUGUUGUCAGUUGGACUAGAUCCAUCCACAGCUACUGUUGAUAUUGUUGUUGUUGAGUCAGUUGGACUAACUCCAUCCACAGCUACUGUUGAUAUUGUUGUUAUUGUUGUCAGUUGGACUAACUCCAUACACAGCUACUGUUGUUAUUGUUGUUAUUGAGUCAGUUGGACUAACUCCAUCCACAGCUACUGUUGAUAUUGUUGUUGUUGAGUCAGUUGGACUAGCUCCAUCCACAGCUACUGUUGAUAUUGUUGUUAUUGAGUCAGUUGGACUAACUCCAUCCACAGCUACUGUUGAUAUUGUUGUUGUUGAGUCAGUUGGACUAACUCCAUCCACAGCUACUGUUGUUAUUGUUGUUGUUGAGUCAGUUGGACUAGCUCCAUCCACAGCUACUGUUGUUAUUGUUGUUGUUGAGUCAGUUGGACUAGCUCCAUCCACAGCUACUGUUGAUAUUGUUGUUGUUGAGUCAGUUGGACUAGCUCCAUCCACAGCUACUGUUGUUGUUAUUGAGUCAGUUGGACUAACUCCAUCCACAGGUACUGUUGUUAUUGAGUCAGUUGGACUAGCUCCAUCCACAGCUACUGUUGAUAUUGUUGUUGUUGAGUCAGUUGGACUAACUCCAUCCACAGCUACUGUUGAUAUUGUUGUUGUUGAGUCAGUUGGACUAGCUCCAUCCACAGCUACUGUUGAUAUUGUUGUUGUUGAGUCAGUUGGACUAGCUCCAUCCACAGCUACUGUUGAUAUUGUUGUUAUUGAGUCAGUUGGACUAACUCCAUCCACAGCUACUGUUGUAUUGUUGUUAUUGUUGUCAGUUGGACUAGCUCCAUCCACAGCUACUGUUGUUAUUGUUGUUGGGUCAGUUGGACUAGCUCCAUCCACAGCUACUGUUGAUAUUGUUGUUGUUGAGUCAGUUGGACUAACUCCAUCCACAGCUACUGUUGAUAUUGUUGAGUCAGUUGGACUAACUCCAUCCACAGCUACUGUUGUUAUUGUUGUUUCAGUUGGACUAACUCCAUCCACAGCUACUGUUGAUAUUGUUGAGUCAGUUGGACUAACUCCAUCCACAGCUACUGUUGAUAUUGUUGUUAUUGAGUCAGUUGGACUAACUCCAUCCACAGCUACUGUUGAUAUUGUUGUUUCAGUUGGACUAACUCCAUCCACAGCUACUGUUGAUAUUGUUGUUGUUGAGUCAGUUGGACUAACUCCAUCCACAGCUACUGUUGAUAUUGUUGUUGUUGAGUCAGUUGGACUAGCUCCAUCCACAGCUACUGUUGUUAUUGUUGUUGUUGAGUCAGUUGGACUAGCUCCAUCCACAGCUACUGUUGAUAUUGUUGUUGUUGAGUCAGUUGGACUAGCUCCAUCCACAGCUACUGUUGUUAUUGUUGAGUCAGUUGGACUAGCUCCAUCCACAGCUACUGUUGUUGUUGUUGUUGAGUCAGUUGGACUAACUCCAUCCACAGCUACUGUUGUUGUUGUUGAGUCAGUUGGACUAACUCCAUCCACAGCUACUGUUGUUAUUGAGUCAGUUGGACUAGCUCCAUCCACAGCUACUGUUGAUAUUGUUGUUGUUGAGUCAGUUGGACUAACUCCAUCCACAGCUACUGUUGAUAUUGUUGUUGUUGAGUCAGUUGGACUAGCUCCAUCCACAGCUACUGUUGUUGUUGUUGAGUCAGUUGGACUAGCUCCAUCCACAGCUACUGUUGAUAUUGUUGUUGUUGAGUCAGUUGGACUAGCUCCAUCCACAGCUACUGUUGAUAUUGUUGUUAUUGUUGUCAGUUGGACUAGCUCCAUCCACAGCUACUGUUGUUAUUGUUGUCAGUUGGACUAGCUCCAUCCACAGCUACUGUUGAUAUUGUUGUUGUUGAGUCAGUUGGACUAACUCCAUCCACAGCUACUGUUGAUAUUGUUGUUAUUGUUGUCAGUUGGACUAGCUCCAUCCACAGCUACUGUUGUUAUUGUUGUUAUUGAGUCAGUUGGACUAACUCCAUCCACAGCUACUGUUGAUAUUGUUGUUGUUGAGUCAGUUGGACUAGCUCCAUCCACAGCUACUGUUGAUAUUGUUGUUAUUGAGUCAGUUGGACUAACUCCAUCCACAGCUACUGUUGAUAUUGUUGUUGUUGAGUCAGUUGGACUAACUCCAUCCACAGCUACUGUUAUUGUUGUCAGUUGGACUAGCUCCAUCCACAGCUACUGCUGUUAUUGUUGUUGUUGAGUCAGUUGGACUAACUCCAUCCACAGCUACUGUUGAUAUUGUUGUUAUUGAGUCAGUUGGACUAACUCCAUCCACAGCUACUGUUGAUAUUGUUGUUGUUGAGUCAGUUGGACUAACUCCAUCCACAGCUACUGUUGUUAUUGUUGUUGUUGAGUCAGUUGGACUAGCUCCAUCCACAGCUACUGUUGUUAUUGUUGUUGUUGAGUCAGUUGGACUAGCUCCAUCCACAGCUACUGUUGAUAUUGUUGUUGUUGAGUCAGUUGGACUAGCUCCAUCCACAGCUACUGUUGUUAUUGUUGUCAGUUGGACUAGCUCCAUCCACAGCUACUGUUGAUAUUGUUGUUAUUGAGUCAGUUGGACUAACUCCAGCUACUGUUGUUAUUGUUAAGUCUUGUCUCUACGCUGCCAGCAUCUCUCUGUUCUCCUUGUUCCUUGCUGGUCUUCUCUCUUGAGAACAAAAAAACAUGGUCAGGGACUGUAUCUACAAAGUGUCUCAGAGUAAGAGUGCUGAUCUAGGAUCAGGUCCCUCUGUUCAUAUAAUCCUAUUAAUAAAUGACGUAAAAAGGCCAAACUGUUCCUAGAUCAGCUUUUACUGUG
RNAcentral lists this long non-coding RNA (4984 nucleotides) under Salmo salar (Atlantic salmon). RNAcentral's name for it is "lncRNA (ENSSSAG00000098305.1)". The record is from RNAcentral. Lineage: Eukaryota; Metazoa; Chordata; Actinopteri; Salmoniformes; Salmonidae.